Molecule: long non-coding RNA, 3056 nt
Filed under: Lathyrus oleraceus (garden pea)
Lineage: Eukaryota; Viridiplantae; Streptophyta; Magnoliopsida; Fabales; Fabaceae
Description: Pisum sativum (pea) long non-coding RNA (PSAT_LNC008608)
Source: RNAcentral
UUUCUGCGAAUAUUGCGUGUGUGAACUGAAGGGAUGAAGCUAUCUUUUGCAGGGUUUCGAAGUUCGUUGCCCUUUUCUGGGCUAGUUAGGUAAUUCACCAUUGCUUUCAUUCAUCUUUGUUUAAAAGCUUUUUUUCUUUCUUCUCUCCAGAACUAAAUGUUAGGGUUACGAUAAUCCGCUAUAACGGCGCCGCAAAGCAUCCUGUAUGGCGAGAUUUUGGCUCUCCGCCGUGGACCGCCAUCGACAACACUGAUAUGACGUGGUGUGAGUGGUAGAUACUUAGAUCUCUUAACAGCAUGGUUAAUACAUGUUGGGUGAUGUUAACCUCUAAAUGUAUGAGAUUAGUGUUUGUAGUUAGGGUUAAAAAUGAGCAAUCUCAGUAGUUGAUAGUAAUCAGACGUUGAUGUUACAUGUAUGUUCAUGACAAAUAUUAAAUGUUAGCAGUUUUCAUUCUCAUCAACUAUUAUAAAGUCUCAUUUUAUUCUCUAAAACAAGCCUAUGCUCCAUACGUAACUGGUACAUCAAAAUGAAUGAAUGUAUGGUUUGGUAGAUUAGAAUAUGGGAUGUAGAGUAAUUUUUUUAAAAUAAGGUCUGGGGAAGUUUAUUAUUGGUUAUGUAAUUAAACUUGUUUUUAUUUUGUGACAGGCAGCUUGAAAAAGAUGUAGAAACUGUUAUUAAGGUGUUACAGCCCGGACCUUUAGGAAUCACCGAGCAUAAGUUUUCUACCGACGAGAUUCGUAGUGCUAAUGCUACGGUCACUAAAGCAGUAGCUAAUUGGCGAAGAAAUGCAAUCCUUGAGGACAAUAAUCAUAUUUUGAAAGACUAUAUUCAAAAGUGAAGGUUAGAAAUUAUAACAUUUUGAUCUUCUAUGACGAAUAUAGUUCUGCCCUCAAAUUGUCAAAAUUGCCUUCUCUAAUCAUUUGUGAUGAGAUGCAGUUCUUGUUGAGAUGUGUGAUCAUCUAGAUGUUUAAUGUUGUAAAUGUUGGUUAUUGAUGAUAAUUUUGUUGAACAUAAGGUAAUAAAUAAUAAUAGCUAUGUUUACUAUACUAACAAUGUGGAGAGACUUGGUUUAUUUUUGUUGUCGAUUGUGGUGCGAUUGCAAAUAACCAACCGCUUUAACUACUCUAUUCAACACCAAAGGCAUAGCAUAUAGGCUUUGCUUGCCCACACAAACCACCAGAAUGGCUGAGCGCAAACAUAGGCAUAUGUUGUUGAAACUGGCCUCACUUUAUUUUCUCAAGCAAGUCUACCCUUGAAGUUCUGGGAUCAUGGUUGCAUGACUGCCACUUAUCUUAUCAACAGAAUGACUGCCACUUUACUAGACAUGAAGUCUCCCUAUACUUCAUGUUGUAUCAACAAGUUCCUAAAUCAGUCCUGAUACAACCAUAAAUAACACCAAUCUUGUCCCACCUCAACUUACUUUCUCAAUCAGUCCUGAUACAACUAUAAAUAAUACCAAUCUUGUCCCAUCCACUCUUCAAGAAACCUCACAAAACACUAUCACACCUCUGAAACCUCACAAGAAUCUCAUUCAUCAUCACUCAACCUCCCAUUUCUACAUCCAAUUUUUAUCAUUCUUCAUACCCUCAAUUUUGGUCCUCUAGCUUACAAAAUGUCCUAACAUUUUCUUUUCUUAUACAUUAUGCCUUGAAUCUGUAGGGCACGACAACCACGUUAUUUAUGCAAGAUGAUGUGGAAAAAAGUUUUUAAGAGAGAAUGCACUCAGACAGUGUCUUGUGUUAAAUUUGGUUGUUUUGUCAUAUAAAUCGAUGUAUAUUUUGAUGAAAUGAAAAGUAGUUGGUAGAUGGGAAUUAUCCACAUCUAUGAGACUUAUUUUGUUGUCUUAAAUGAAUUAAUUUUUUAUAUUAUUUUACACUUUAAAAAAAUUUAAGCCACUCGAUUACAAUUUUUAAAUAUUCAGACGAUUCAUUUAAAAGUUUAAAUUGGGUCCCAUUAACUAUUACUAUAAGUAAGUGUAAAACACACUAAAAACUAAGACACAAUAGCUUUAUUUGACAACAUUGCGUUUAUUAUAUCAUUCAUUACAUAAUUAAAUAUAAUUGUUUUAUCCAAAUAACACAGUUUUAAGUCACAUUUCAGAUAAAUUUCUAAACUAUCUCACUUAAAAAAAAAUGUAAAUACAUAGAUGUCAGAUGAAUUGGCGCAUACCUUUAAAUUUAAAGAGGAGGCGCCAAUUGAAUUGUCUUUUACACAUGGUGCUGUCAAUCUAAUUGGUGCUGUCAAUUGGUCUGACGCAUGCGUGUUGUAUAAAUUAUUUAUUUUUGUAUAAAUAGAAGUGUGGUGUGAUUCAUUUUCCACAUCUCUUUUCAUUAUAUUGCAAGCACUGUUCGUCUUCGUCGUUGCUAUGUGAAAAUGAUUUAUUCGACAGACAAGCCUCCGAUGGAGAUGCUCUUCUGGAACAUCUGUAGUUUCAAAUAACUACAGAGGGAGUUAGUUCGUUGGUUAGAUGGAGACAUACCUGAAGGCGAAAAAAUUAGAAGUAUUGAGAGACACGAUACUGUACGUGGGUGAGUGCGAGUUAAAAAUGAUAAGGAUGCGAGAGAAAUGGUAUGAUAUCAGUUUGGACCAAAUGAUAUCAGUUUGAUUGUUCUAAUUAGUUAGAAAUAUUGUGUUUAAAUAUUGUGGUUAAAUAUUUUUAUUUGUUUUGAUAUCUAUUGUAUGUGUUGUUUAUUCAGACCUAUCACCAAUGUUUGUUUUGUGAUAUUUGGUUUCUUGUUGGAAAGUGUGGUUGUUUUUAAGUGUGUUUAAGUUGUGAUGAUGUUUGUUGUUAAUAUUGUUGUAAUAAAAAGUUAUUAAUAUAUAAAAAUCAAAGGUUACAAAAAUUGAAAGGAGGUACUAAAUUAUGAUGCAGGGGUUGCUCUAAGAUUGAGACAUUUUUUAUUAUUGUGUCCGAGUUUACGACAUAUACUACAUAAUCAUACCAUUUUAUCAGCCACAUCCAUUUAUGUUAUAAUAAGCGUGUUGUUUGGUCGUCCCUUUUCUUUCUUCGCAUCUCAUCGUUGUGCCAAACUAUGUCCCCUUAAUAUAUGAAGAUA